This is an RNA transcript of Trifolium pratense (red clover), 4670 nucleotides long. It is a transcript of the gene named origin of replication complex subunit 6-like, with no coding region annotated. The transcript is spliced from 6 exons. The record is from RefSeq and is a predicted model, not a curated record. Lineage: Eukaryota; Viridiplantae; Streptophyta; Magnoliopsida; Fabales; Fabaceae.
UCUCUCUUCUCUCCCUCUCUCUCUCUCUCUCGUACGCUCUUCUCUCCCUCUCACUCUCUCGUACGCUCUUCUCUCCCUCCUCUCUGCCUCAUCUCAUCCUUCACCAUAACAUCCACCACAACCCCCCACCACCACCUACAAAUCAAUCACUCGUCAGAGGGAGGGAGUGGCCGAGUGAGAGAAGAUUUGCCGGGGAGGGAAGUUCCGGUGAGGAAGAGAGAGUUCCGGCCGUGAUAGAUAGUUCCGGUGGUGGUUCGCGGCGGUGUUUGGCGACGGCGAUGCUUAUUGCUCCUUCGUUCCUCUGGUUUGAUCUUAGUUUCUAUACUAUAUUUAUUUUUAUUUUUUUCGUUGCUUUUUUUUUUGCUGGUGAAGAUGUUGAAGAUUGGAGGUGGUGGUGAUGUGUAGUGGUUAUGUUGGAUGGCUCCAUGGAAGGAUAAGGCUCCUCCAGUCCUCCACCUUCCUCCAAGCUAGCCAAAUCUGGUGGUGGCAAGCAGAAGAAGGUUCGUUUUUCUCUUCAAAGUUUUUUUUUUAAAUUUUUUUUUCUGUAAAAGUUUAUUUUUUGACAAUUUGGUGUUCUCUUGGAUCGAUCCGCUGCGGUGAAACUAAGUGGAAUGUCUGAAAGAGCUUAUAUUAGAUCCUAUAAUUCACUUCACAAUGGCAUCGGAGUCAAGUUGAAGCUAGAUGUGAGAGAAUUGGCGAUUCAAUUCGGUUGUGUUCGGAUUAUACCUUAUGUUCGUGACGGUCUUAAGCUGUAAGUUAUUGAUUUUGUGGUUUUAAUAAUGUCUGCUACAUGUUUGAUGAAAUGCUAUUGAAAAAAAACACUAAAAUGUGUUGCUGAAAAUCGCCGUGCUUUUACUCGUCCGGUGUUUAUGGCUGUUGCUUUUUAUUUAUGUGCAAAGAAACACAAGGUACAUUUGUAAUAAUCUCAAUACAAACACAUGGCAUGUGGUUAUAUAUUGUAAUGACAUGAUUUGUGAUUGUUCUUUGCUUGUGUUUCUGAUUCAUGAGAUUAUUGUGCAGAAAGGGCAACUGGGUCAUGGAGAUACCAUUCAGCGUGAUAGGCCGACUGUGGUGUCUGAACUAUCAAAAUACAAAAUUGUUCAAGCUGGAGCUGGGAGGAGCCAUACGGUAGUUGUUACGGAUGAUGGAAAUUCCCUAGCAUUUGGAUGGAACAAACAUGGACAGCUAGGUUCCGGUUCUGCAAAAACUGGUAUGGUUUCCGCGGUAUACAUUUUAAGGGUGACUUUUGUUUGCUCAAUGUGAUUCAUACUUAUCACUGGCUUGGUAUAGAAUAUAGAUGUUAUGUUAAAUAUGGUCGAUGGAGGGAAUGGUAUAUAAUGCAAUGGUUACUACAUGAGCGUGUAGUAAAGUUACUACACUUACAUUUAUAUUGUCAUUUUUUCUUGAAUCCCAUAUAAUUUAAAGUGAUAAUUUAUGAGCUGAUUAUCAACAAAGCCUUUCUAAUUUAAACAUGGUGAAAAUGAUAUCUUCUAGCACAAGCAUGUAAUAAGUUCUCGUGGUUAGCUUAUACAGGUCAAUCUGGACUUCAGUUCUUAAGCCGACAUAUAUGAAUUGAGUUAAAACUACUUCUUCUGAAACAGACACCACACUCUCCAGACCCACAAUGUUGAAAAUAAAUAAGUUUCAAUUUUUCUAUAUCAUUUUGAUUCACAUGUCAUGCCCUCAUUGUUUUGUGUAAAGUCACCAGCUUAAUCUAUUCAUACCAUUCUUUGUUAUCUGAUACUCAUCAAAAACCAGUUAGUCAUCUUAUGUAAUAGUUGUCAUUGUCAAGUUUCAUUGUUAUCAUUAUUAACAUUUAUAAUGUAUCAUGUUCACUAACUAAUCCCUAUUUGUACUACUACUAUGAUUUUUUGCCAUAGGAUGACUCCUGCAACGGUUUACAACAUUAUGCUGCUUUAGGAAGAGACAAGGUAAAUGACCUUUGUCAAUUUGCUUUCCUUGUGUCCUUUUCCAAUUUUUGAGUUUCAAGUACUUAGUCCUAGGUAUUAGAGAUCAAGAUGGGGAAUGAAUAUCACUUAUGAAUGUAACUUUGUGUCAAGACUUUGAUGGUUGUUGAAAAUGAUUUUGGCUAAUUGAAAUCCCUUCCUUAUUUCAUAUAUUUCAUUUCAUAUUCUGAUUUCUUUUUGCGAAUUUUAUUGUUUGUUCAGGUUCACAAAAUUACGGUUUGAUUGUGUAAGUUUUCUAAACUUUAUUUGAUUGUAUUUGAGUAAUAUUUAGCUGAUGUUUGAGAUUUGAGUAAGUUUUCGUUUCAGAAUUCAACUCUCUAUUACUUUCUAUGGUGUUUGUCAUUUAUCUCCAUCAUAUAUUAGGAGGAGAAAGUUGCAUUAGGAGGCUAUCCUACUAAAUUUGUUUGUUGAAUUGCUCUCCCGGACAUUUUAACACAUUCAUUUUUUUGAAGGGCGAGUAACGAGAAUGAAGUUGGAAAGUUGCUAUUUACUAUUAUUGGGAAAAUGUAGCAAGAUUAGCAAUGCCAUGAUGAAGGAGUGGCUUGCAAUGUUUUUCCUUAGCAUUCUGAUUUACAAGGUCAGUCCUUCGCUUCACUCCAUUUUUUUCUUAACUGAACAUGAACCUUAAGUGUCUCAUUCUUAGAAGGCUUUGUUGGUUCACUAGGACAUAAUCCCUUUAAAUAUGUCAAAGCUUUUUAGGUCGCCGGUAUAGUUAGCCGGUCGGUUCUCGGAACUAAUGAUGCAUUUCAGUAUGCCAGAAGUCGAUGCAAAAGGUUCAAAAUGGAGAGCUCUGCUAGAAGCAGGACUCAAAUUGUGUGUUACACCCUAAUAGCAGCAGCUACAAAGUCCUUUUUAUCAGGCAAGAUACAAUUGGAGAGUAAGUAAUUUUUUGACCAAUCAAAUAUUAUGACAAACUAUAAUCUAGGUCCAAAAUGGUUUUUCAUGAUAUUGAAAGGCUUCUAUAUACCUCUUAUAAUAAUACACCACUUGAUGGGUGCUUCUAUUCUGCCAUUACACUAGAGUUAGAUGCAAGUGAUGGUAUACUCUGUUCAUAUCUGAAAAAAUUGUUUGGAUCUAUCGCCGUCUUUACCUCUACAAGCCUAUCAAAGUUUCCUUUGAAAUACUUUUUACCCCAAAUACUGGCUUCUUCAUAACCAACAUUCCUAUCUACAUUGACACCUAAAUCAACAUCUCUAUAGUUCAAAUAUGAACUUCUUGGCGACUCUGACACAUAAGGUGUCAUGUAAUCAUAGAGGUUUCGAAUCCGAUCUAAUCUCACUCAUUUUCCCACCAUAAGGAUUAAAUGUAAGUGUAACCUUAAGAUGAGUACUUUUUUGCAAUUUUGUAAUUUUGAAAAUAUUGACAUGAUUUUGGAACUGCUUUCUUAUGCAAUUUAGAAUUUUUAACAGCAUGAGGGAAUUUUAAAACACCUGAGAUAUUAGAAAUUUAUUAGACAUAAGUUGUUUAACUUUAAAGAUUGUUGGAAGUAGUAUUGCAUUUUGAUUUAAUUGACAUGAUUUUGGUCUAAAGCUUCAAUCUUUCUACUUUGUUGCAAGCUUGUGUAUCUCAUCUUAGCUCCAUAGCAUAUUUCUGAUUCCACUUGGUAACUGAACAAUGGCAGUGCUUCUUUUUUUUUUUUUUUUACGUUUAAAUGGUUCAAUUCAAGCAAACUUCAUUCUUGCUGAUAUUUAUUGUGUAUGUUCUAAUGAUGUUGGAAAAUUGCAGCAAUGUAAAUAGAAUCAAAGUUUGGAUAAAAUUAAAUUGUGUAUGAUAUGUUUGGUGGUGUAGUGUGCACGAGGUUGCAACAAUAAUAAGAAUCAGAGGUGGAAAUUGAAAGUUGGACCAAUGAGUAGUUAAGGUUGAUAUGUUUUGUUUCCUUUCAUUACUAUGUUUUGCCUCCUCAUUGCUCUUCCUUUUGUUCCUAUAAUGACAGUCGAAUGGCACGUUCCAAUUGGAUGUCUCCUUAUUUUUUAUAAGAAAUCAGGUAGUUUAGUCUUAUAUUUCUUAACUCAUUGUUGUUCUUCUGAACAAAAGUUAUUUUUUAUAUUUAGAUGAUUCAUCUUGAUUGUUCCAUUUCUUUUUCUUUUCUUCAUUUUUUACUCCUUAUUAAUUUGCAGGAGUAUUCCUUAUCUUUGGCGACGAUUGAAUGCUUGCGGUGGCUCAUGGUCGCGGUGUAUAUUGUGAUGAUGAAGGUGUAGCUUACGGUGAUGGUUUAUGCGGUGCAUAUGUUGCCUUCAAUGGUGAGUGACUUUUUGCGCAUGAUUCUUCUUGGUCUCAUUCUUUUUGACAUACAGGGUUUUUAUUGUCCCAAGACACUGUAGAUUUCAGAUUACACAUUUUUGUUCAUCUUCAAAUCUUGAUCUUGACGUUUCUGCAAGCGAAGUUGCUGAUGGUGAAGAGGGUUCUCCAGAAGAACAUGAUGACUUUUGGAUGAAACUUAAACUCAUUCAGUCAUCCAAAUUCAUUAUAGAAGAAGGCCAUAUAUUUUCAAGGAGGGACGUUUAAGUCAAACCAGUUCUCUAAGCUAGCAUUUGAAAAUAAAUUAUCAGUUGAAGAGAAUUCUAUUAUCUGACUAAUUUGUAAUUUGGAGAUAGUAUGUAUCAGAAAAUCGAUUACUUAUUUGUACAUUUCGUUUUGAUUAUGUAAUCGGAUAUCUUAUAAUACAUAAAUUGGGUCCAGAAUAUAGCUACACUUUUUUUAAUA